Molecule: unclassified non-coding RNA, 602 nt
Filed under: Cephaliophora irregularis
Lineage: Eukaryota; Fungi; Ascomycota; Pezizomycetes; Pezizales; Ascodesmidaceae
Description: sequence contains 18S rRNA gene, ITS1, 5.8S rRNA gene, ITS2, 28S rRNA gene
Rfam family: 5.8S ribosomal RNA (bases 225-378)
Source: RNAcentral
GAAGUAAAAAGUCGUAACAAGGUUUCCGUAGGUGAACCUGCGGAAGGAUCAUUACAGUAUAUUGAAUUCACAUUCAUAUACCCACUCUGCGUACCUUAUAACUGUUGCUUCCAUGGGACCUGGCUCUGCCACGUCGGCCUCCGGGCUGGUGAGCUCCCGUGGGAGGAAAACAAUACUCCUUUUUGUUAGUGAAGUCUGUAUGAACUGUUUGUAAUAAACGUUAAAACUUUCAACAACGGAUCUCUUGGUUCUCGCAUCGAUGAAGAACGCAGCGAAAUGCGAUAAGUAGUGUGAAUUGCAGAAUUCAGUGAAUCAUCGAAUCUUUGAACGCACAUUGCGCCUCCUGGUAUUCCGGGAGGCAUGCCUGUUCGAGCGUCAUCAAAAACCUCAGUCUGAGACUUUGUCAAGGAUUGGUCAUGCUUCGGAUGCGGUUGCAUCCCCAGCGAAAUCCAAUGGCGAAGAGCCUCUAGGCCAAAGCGUAGUAUUAAUAUCUCGUUAUGGUCCGGUGUGCGCUUCUGCCGUAACCCCCCCCAUUUCUAAGUUUUUGACCUCGGAUCAGGUAGGGAUACCCGCUGAACUUAAGCAUAUCAUAAAAGCGGAGG